RNAcentral lists this ribosomal RNA (293 nucleotides) under uncultured eukaryote. Its description in RNAcentral is "partial 18S ribosomal RNA". It matches the Rfam family "Eukaryotic small subunit ribosomal RNA", at positions 6 to 294 of the family's 1831-position model. The record is from RNAcentral.
GGUUGAUCCUGCCGAUAGUCAUACGCUCGUCUCAAAGAUUAAGCCAUGCAUGUCUAAGUAUAAGCAACUUUUACUGUGAAACUGCGAAUGGCUCAUUAUAUCAGUUAUAGUUUCUUUGAUAUUCCUUUGCUACUUGGAUAACCGUAGUAAUUCUAGAGCUAAUACAUGCGUUUACGCCCGACAAUUUUGGAGGGCGGUAUUUAUUAGAUAUAAACCAAUGUUGAAAUUUAUUUCAUCUUUUGUGGUGAGUCAUAAUAACUUAGCGAAUCGUAUGCCCUUGUGGUGACGAUGAA